Long non-coding RNA from Octodon degus (degu), 124 nucleotides. RefSeq lists it as uncharacterized. The transcript has 3 exons. The record is from RefSeq and is a predicted model, not a curated record. Lineage: Eukaryota; Metazoa; Chordata; Mammalia; Rodentia; Octodontidae.
UGAUUUUUUGAAAUGUCAUGGCUCCAUUCAUACUUUUUUCUUAUUCUUUCAAUUGGGAUAUAUAAUGUUCAGAGCUCUUGUAUUUGGAAGCUGGAAGAAGGGCCUGAACUUUGACAUAGUGUCU